GACGAACGCUGGCGGCGUGCCUAAUACAUGCAAGUCGAGCGGACUUUCAAGAAGCUUGCUUUUUGAAAGUUAGCGGCGGACGGGUGAGUAACACGUGGGCAACCUGCCUGCAAGACGGGGAUAACUCCGGGAAACCGGGGCUAAUACCGGAUAAUAUCUUCCUUCGCAUGAAGGAAUGUUGAAAGGCGGCGCAAGCUGCCGCUUGCAGAUGGGCCCGCGGCGCAUUAGCUAGUUGGUGAGGUAACGGCUCACCAAGGCGACGAUGCGUAGCCGACCUGAGAGGGUGAUCGGCCACACUGGGACUGAGACACGGCCCAGACUCCUACGGGAGGCAGCAGUAGGGAAUCUUCCGCAAUGGACGAAAGUCUGACGGAGCAACGCCGCGUGAGCGAAGAAGGUCUUCGGAUCGUAAAGCUCUGUUGUCAGGGAAGAACAAGUACCGUUCGAACAGGGCGGUACCUUGACGGUACCUGACCAGAAAGCCACGGCUAACUACGUG
RNAcentral lists this ribosomal RNA (499 nucleotides) under uncultured bacterium. Its description in RNAcentral is "partial 16S ribosomal RNA". It matches the Rfam family "Bacterial small subunit ribosomal RNA", at positions 28 to 507 of the family's 1533-position model. The record is from RNAcentral.